Non-coding RNA from Pogona vitticeps (central bearded dragon), 1236 nucleotides. NCBI's taxonomy places the organism in Eukaryota, Metazoa, Chordata, Lepidosauria, Squamata, Agamidae. The record is from RefSeq and is a predicted model, not a curated record.
GAAAUGUUCAAGAAGUGGUUGAUUCGCACUCUUUCCAUAAUUAGGAUGGACGGUGAUGUCUAUAAGGGUGCAGCAAAAUAUUUUGCCAUCUCGUGGAUUGAGAACAAUAAUUUUACAGUUCUUCUUCCUCACCUGUGGGGAGAAAACAAACAAGGAUUUGUAUCCCUGAUGCCAUGCUCAUCACCUGGGAAAAUAACAUACGUCAGCUUGAGGUCCAUCUAUCCAUGCUACAGUUCCUCCAGGAAGAUAGAGUGGCUCUGGAUACAGCAAAGCAAUAGAGGGAAGGUACCUCUAGGAAGGAGGGAGACACAACAAGCAGGAGGCAAGCACUUGAAACAGUGUAACACAGAGAAGCAGGUCUACCAGGAUUAAGCAUGCUGUAUCGUAGGACCCAGCUUUCCUCCAGGAAGAAGUCGAACACUUACAAUUCAACCUCCUGUGAGUUAAAUAUAUUUUGGCAAAGCUUCUCAUUGGUAAUUAUAACCCCCAUGUCAACACAAUUUCAUUAUGCCAGCGUGGACAGAAAGCAGAAACCAAAGUAGAACUGAAACAAUUUUUUUUCAGAUUCACUGCCUUCAUGAACUUUAAGAAUAUUGUUAUUGCUUGCAAAAAAGAAAAGAAAAAGAAAAAGAAAAAAAUAAGAAUAGAAAUCUAUAUCACAGGAUUUUCUCCAAAUAUUCUCCAUAGAAUUGAUUGCUUACUUGAUUGACUGUAGCAACCGUAGUGACUCUCUGCCAUGUUCUGGAAUAAUGCUAGGUUUGAGGCAUUACUGAGAAUGCAAAAUGGUAGCUAGAGCUGCUACAGCAAGCUGAGGAAGAGGCGGAGGAGGCGGGGAGAAUUGAAGAAGAUGAUGAAAGGAAGACCUGGAUGGAUGCCCCAACCUGAGCCUCCCAAGGAAGUGCUGCAAGCCUCCAGCUUCAGCUGGCCACAGGACACUAUCAUUCAGAGGAAGUAAUGUCAGCCAUAGCUAGAUCCUGUGCCAAUGAACCCCAUUCCCACCUAGCUGUGACAAUAGAGGAGGCAGUUGAACCAUCUCUGGCUGAAUGGUGGGAACAGUCCAGUGCAUGGCUUCCUCCUUCCAGGGAAGAGGACAGGAGGGGGUGGAGACAAUUUUAAGCCUCCAAAGAAUUGUAUGGUGAAGGAAAUAGUAAUAACUUACUAUUUUUGGACUUAAGGACUGCCCAGAAUUGGCCUGGCUUGGAUAGGCUAAAAGAAGACUUAAAUAGUUAAAAUUGU